GCUUAUUAUUUCGCCCUCUCCGUUCUUUUUCACAGUGUGUGAAGCAGCAGCGCCAGUGAUCAUGUUUGUAGAGCGAGGACUGUUUGUGCUGAACAACCAAAGGUGACCUACAUAUGUUCUGGGCAAGUUACCGUCCACACCGUCCAAUGGCUGACUGCUAAUGAAAAUACUGUUCCUGAUGAGCCAGUUGGCAUCUUGCAUCUGAGUGAAUGGGUGACUGCUGAAGUGCUGUCGAAAUGAACGUUUAACAUUUGUCUGCUGCUCGGGGAGCUGUGGUUAUCACGGACUGGGAAGGAGCCAGAAGUGCUACGUGCUAGAAGUCCCCCACACACACAAACAACCACACACACACACACACACACAAUGAUAAGUGCAACAGCAGUUUCCGGUCCUGCAGUGUGUGAUUCAGUUUUUUUGGCCAGUCUCCUUUUUUUAAAGCAAAUCAUUAGCCUCAGUGUGUCAGACUGUUACAGGAACAUGACAUAAUCCUCCACUUGUCCCCCGAGACAGAUUUUCCUUGGACUCCACAAUGCCGUUUCAUGAGAAGAACACUCAAUCACAUAAUGGUAUAAAAUUGAAUACGUCAACACUCUUACUUUUUUUUUGACGUGAAAUGGUUUCUUAACUUAACUUUCCAAUACUCAGCUUCAUAGAACAACUGUAAAUUCACACCUGACAUGUGUUGACCUCUGUUAUUGCUAUUAAACUUUUUUCUGAUUCGUUCCGCAGUCAAUCGUUACUCAAAUUCUGCUUCCAGGAUCAGCUUUCUCGCCGUGACAAGGCAGACACAAGCCCUGUUUGAUCAUUGUUAGAUCAGCACACAUCCAGUGACACACAUAAACAUACAAAAAACAUAUUAAAACAAAUUAAAGCAAAGAGACUGAUGUCUAUAACAAGCAAUGAGCCCUUCCCCCAAAAUAUAUCUGUAAAUGUAUGUGUGUUAUCCUCCCACACAUGAAAGACAAACACCCACACACAAACAAUGUGAUCCUGACCAGGAGCUAAAAAUGGCUAGAACCAAGAGGAAGUUA
Long non-coding RNA from Acanthopagrus latus (yellowfin seabream), 1031 nucleotides. RefSeq lists it as uncharacterized. The transcript is spliced from 3 exons. The record is from RefSeq and is a predicted model, not a curated record. NCBI's taxonomy places the organism in Eukaryota, Metazoa, Chordata, Actinopteri, Spariformes, Sparidae.